Molecule: unclassified non-coding RNA, 260 nt
Filed under: Trichoderma erinaceum
Lineage: Eukaryota; Fungi; Ascomycota; Sordariomycetes; Hypocreales; Hypocreaceae
Description: partial internal transcribed spacer region
Rfam family: Eukaryotic small subunit ribosomal RNA (bases 1-46)
Source: RNAcentral
AAGUCGUAACAAGGUCUCCGUUGGUGAACCAGCGGAGGGAUCAUUACCGAGUUUACAACUCCCAAACCCAAUGUGAACCAUACCAAACUGUUGCCUCGGCGGGGUCACGCCCCGGGUGCGUCGCAGCCCCGGAACCAGGCGCCCGCCGGAGGGACCAACCAAACUCUUUACUGUAGUCCCCUCGCGGACGUUAUUUCUUACAGCUCUGAGCAAAAAUUCAAAAUGAAUCAAAACUUUCAACAACGGAUCUCUUGGCUCUG